GUGCAGCAGUCGCGAAAACUCCGCAAUACGCGAAAGCGUGACGGGGCUACCCCGAGUGCCGUCCGCUGAGGACGGCUUUUCCCCAGUGUAGAGAGCCGGGGGAAUAAGGAGAGGGCAAGUCUGGUGUCAGCCGCCGCGGUAAUACCAGCUCUCCGAGUGGUAGGGAUGAUUAUUGGGCCUAAAGCGUCCGUAGCCGGCUGGGCAAGUCUCCCGUUAAAUCCAACGAUUCAAUCGUUGGACUGCGGGAGAUACUGUUCGGCUAGGAGGCGGGAGAGGCCAACGGUAUUCCCGGAGUAGGGGUGAAAUCCUAUAAUCCCGGGAGGACCACCAGUGGCGAAGGCUGUUGGCUAGAACGCGCCCGACGGUGAGGGACGAAAGCUGGGGGAGCGAACCGGAUUAGAUACCCGGGUAGUCC
RNAcentral lists this ribosomal RNA (415 nucleotides) under uncultured crenarchaeote. RNAcentral describes it as "partial 16S ribosomal RNA". It matches the Rfam family "Archaeal small subunit ribosomal RNA", at positions 330 to 747 of the family's 1478-position model. The record is from RNAcentral. Lineage: Archaea; Thermoproteati; Thermoproteota.